GAGACUUGCUGCUUGAAAGUCACUGUUCGACACCAUGAUCUCAGUGGGUCACGUUUGAGAUACACCAACCUGGAGGACUGCAUGCUGUGAGCUGUUCACAAGCACCGGACACUUCCA
This 117-nucleotide microRNA precursor is filed under the name Pteropus vampyrus (large flying fox). Its description in RNAcentral is "microRNA 490 (ENSPVAG00000025649.1)". Lineage: Eukaryota; Metazoa; Chordata; Mammalia; Chiroptera; Pteropodidae. The record is from RNAcentral.